This 253-nucleotide ribosomal RNA is filed under the name uncultured bacterium. Its description in RNAcentral is "partial 16S ribosomal RNA". It matches the Rfam family "Bacterial small subunit ribosomal RNA", at positions 524 to 776 of the family's 1533-position model. The record is from RNAcentral.
UACGUAGGGGGCAAGCGUUGUCCGGAUUUAUUGGGCGUAAAGAGCGUGUAGGCGGUUUGGUAGGUCCGUUGUGAAAACUCGAGGCUCAACCUCGAGACGCCGGCGGAAACCAUCAGGCUAGAGUCCGGAAGAGGAGAGUGGAAUUCCUGGUGUAGCGGUGAAAUGCGCAGAUAUCGGGAGGAACACCAAUGGCGAAGGCAGCUCGCUGGGACGGUACUGACGCUGAGACGCGAAAGCGUGGGGAGCAAACAGG